RNAcentral lists this transfer RNA (73 nucleotides) under Mustela putorius furo (domestic ferret). It matches the Rfam family "tRNA". From Rfam's summary of the family: Transfer RNA (tRNA) molecules are approximately 80 nucleotides in length. Their secondary structure includes four short double-helical elements and three loops (D, anti-codon, and T loops). Lineage: Eukaryota; Metazoa; Chordata; Mammalia; Carnivora; Mustelidae. The record is from Rfam by way of RNAcentral.
GCCUGGCUGGCUCAGUCAGUAGAGCAUGAGACUCUGGAUCUAGGAGUCGUGAGUUCGAGCCCCACGCUGGGUG